UACAGGGGGGGCAAGCGUUGUUCGGAAUUACUGGGCGUAAAGGGCUCGUAGGUGGCCAACUAAGUCAGACGUGAAAUCCCUCAGCUUAACUGGGGAACUGCGUCUGAUACUGGAUGGCUUGGAUUCGGGAGAGGAAUGCGGAAUUCCAGGUGUAGCGGUGAAAUGCGUAGAUAUCUGGAGGAACACCGGUGGCGAAGGCGGCAUUCUGGACCGAUAUUGACGCUGAGGAGCGAAAGCCAGGGGAGCAAACAGG
Molecule: ribosomal RNA, 253 nt
Filed under: uncultured bacterium
Lineage: Bacteria
Description: partial 16S ribosomal RNA
Rfam family: Bacterial small subunit ribosomal RNA
Source: RNAcentral